This 580-nucleotide ribosomal RNA is filed under the name Curvularia lunata. RNAcentral's name for it is "partial 18S ribosomal RNA". The stretch from base 214 to 367 matches the Rfam family "5.8S ribosomal RNA". Lineage: Eukaryota; Fungi; Ascomycota; Dothideomycetes; Pleosporales; Pleosporaceae. The record is from RNAcentral.
UAGGUGACCUGCGGAGGGAUCAUUACACAAUAAAAUAUGAAGGCUGUACGCGGCUGUGCUCUCGGGCCAGUUUUGCGGAGGCUGAAUUAUUUAUUACCCUUGUCUUUUGCGCACUUGUUGUUUCCUGGGCGGGUUCGCCCGCCACCAGGACCACAUUAAACCUUUUUUAUGCAGUUGCAAUCAGCGUCAGUAUAACAAAUGUAAAUCAUUUACAACUUUCAACAACGGAUCUCUUGGUUCUGGCAUCGAUGAAGAACGCAGCGAAAUGCGAUACGUAGUGUGAAUUGCAGAAUUCAGUGAAUCAUCGAAUCUUUGAACGCACAUUGCGCCCUUUGGUAUUCCAAAGGGCAUGCCUGUUCGAGCGUCAUUUGUACCCUCAAGCUUUGCUUGGUGUUGGGCGUUUUUUGUCUUUGGUUGCCAAAGACUCGCCUUAAAAGGAUUGGCAGCCGGCCUACUGGUCGCAGCGCAGCACAUUUUUGCGCUUGCAAUCAGCAAAAGAGGACGGCAAUCCAUCAAGACUCCUUCUCACGUUUGACCUCGGAUCAGGUAGGGAUACCCGCUGAACUUAAGCAUAUCAAUA